UACGUAGGUGGCAAGCGUUGUCCGGAUUUAUUGGGCUUAAAGGGUGCGUCGGCGGCUCGGUAAGUCCGCUGUGAAAGUCCAGGGCUCAACCCUGGAAUGCCGGUGGAAACUGUCGAGCUUGAGUCCGGAAGAGGCGAGUGGAAUUCCUGGUGUAGCGGUGAAAUGCGCAGAUAUCAGGAGGAACACCAAUGGCGAAGGCAGCUCGCUGGGACGGUACUGAGGCUGAGACGCGAAAGCGUGGGGAGCAAACAGG
Molecule: ribosomal RNA, 253 nt
Filed under: uncultured bacterium
Lineage: Bacteria
Description: partial 16S ribosomal RNA
Rfam family: Bacterial small subunit ribosomal RNA
Source: RNAcentral